Long non-coding RNA from Apis dorsata (giant honeybee), 415 nucleotides. RefSeq lists it as uncharacterized. The record is from RefSeq and is a predicted model, not a curated record. The transcript is spliced from 2 exons. NCBI's taxonomy places the organism in Eukaryota, Metazoa, Arthropoda, Insecta, Hymenoptera, Apidae.
UUAUACAUUAAUAUCCUGUAUAUAAUUUCAUUGAUCGUGAAAAACUACAUUACAAACUUUAAAACACAAUGCAAAGUGAUACUACACGAAAAAGUAAUAUUAUCCUGAUUCUCAAGGAUGUAGAUCGAGUUGGAUCCUGCGAAAGAGGUAACUCUCCGAGGAAAGCUCGGGUGAGGGCGAGUGGAGGCGCGCUUGUCGCGAUCCUCGGAACCCAGCCAACAACAGGCCGUGGCUUGUACAAGUGUAUUUAGGGUUACGACGCGACGCGGCUCCACUGUGGAAAACCAGAGACACCUGACGGUGUGUUCGAUAUUGAAACAUCCGCGAAUUAAUUUGCGCAAAUCUUUUUUUUUUUUUCGUUGCUUUCUUUGUAAAGAAGAAGAUAUACAAUUGGUUCCUUGGAAUUAUUCGGUUA